Molecule: ribosomal RNA, 388 nt
Filed under: Biecheleria sp.
Lineage: Eukaryota; Dinophyceae; Suessiales; Biecheleriaceae
Description: partial small subunit ribosomal RNA
Rfam family: Eukaryotic small subunit ribosomal RNA
Source: RNAcentral
AUUCCAGCUCCAAUAGCGUAUAUUAAAGUUGUUGCGGUUAAAAAGCUCGUAGUUGGAUUUCUGCCGAGGAUGACCGGUCCGCCCUGUGGGUGUGCAUCUGGCUCAGCCUUGGCAUCUUCCUGAAGAACGUAGCUGCACUUGACUGUGUGGUGCGGUAUUUAGGACAUUUACUUUGAGGAAAUUAGAGUGUUUCAAGCAAGCGCACGCUUUGAAUACAUUAGCAUGGAAUAAUAAGAUAGGAUCUUGAUACUAUUUUGUUGGUUUGCGUGUCGAGACAAUGAUGAAUAGGGACAGUUGGGGGUAUUUGUAUUCCAUAGUCAGAGGUGAAAUUCUUGGAUUUAUGGAAGACAAACUAAUGCGAAAGCAUCUACCAAGGAUGUUUUCAUUA